Molecule: non-coding RNA, 6092 nt
Organism: Sus scrofa (pig)
Lineage: Eukaryota; Metazoa; Chordata; Mammalia; Artiodactyla; Suidae
Source: RefSeq, a predicted model, not a curated record
AAACCCGCAACCUCAUGGUUCCUAGUCGGAUUCGUUAACCACUGCGCCACGACGGGAACUCCAGAAAACGGUUUAUUCUUACAAAAAAAAAAUCUGAAAAUAAAUUCCAUUAUGGGCUUUAAAUGCUAGAUCAAGAACUUUGGGGAAGAUUUAUAAACGACUUAGAAAAGAAUAUUAUAUCCUCUGAUACACCCAGUGAGUGGUAAGAGACUUUGCUUGCUUUUUUUUGGUUUACUUGAGGCUUCAUCUCGGCAGAGUUCAGCAUUUUAAUUCUUAAAACCCCCUCUGAGGUUAAUAUGCUUAAGAUAGUAUGUGGAAUAGAAUAGGCACGAAUGCACAUUAGAAAUUCCCUCCAAUGACAGUAUGCGGAGCCACUGCUGGGCGUCAGUGUUUUCCAGGCUCUGGCUUAUGUGCAAUCAUGUAUCCGUCCUGAUGACACAAAUUUAGAUUUAACAACUCCUCUUUGUGAAUGCCCGUUCCUGACUAAUUUAAUCCUGCCUGGUUAAAUAAAUGCUUUCUAAUCCUGUAGGGCAGGGAAUAUUACCCUCAUAUGACAAAGGAGAAAAAUGAGAUUUAGUGACUAGCAUAGAGCCGCAUAAUUAAUAAAUGGCAAGAACAGUGCUAGAACCCAAGUUUUUCAGGUUCUAGACCCCCUUUCAAACAACGACACCGUAUAAUCACUGUGCUAACAUGAGACUAAGUACAGUCAUUCAUUUGUUUAAUCAUUCAACAGAUACUUAUUGAACAUCUAGCAUGUGUCAGAAAUGGUUUUAAACAUCACUGAGGAUACAGAAGGAAACAAAACAGACCAAGCCCUUCCCUCAGUGUUUCUAGACUACGGAAGGAGACAUAAUAAUUUAUGUCACGUGGUGAUCAUGUGAUAUGGAGACAAAACAAGGAAAAGAGAGCACUAUUAAGUGGUGGGGUUGCAUACUAACAGGGUGGUAGGGUAGGGGAGACCUUCCUGAGAAGAUGACCCAUGGGGGAGUUGAAGAUGAUGCAGUCACCUGGGGAAACACCUGGUAGACAAAGGCUCCAGCACCGAGCCCUGGAGGGAAGCACGGCUGGAGCAUGUGAGGGGUAGCAAGGCUGGUAUGGCCAGAACAGAACAUGGAAGGUGGAGAAAAGCAGGAGUGGAGGCCAGGGAGACGAGGAUCAAGGAAAGGACUGGCAGUGAAGGCCCCUAGCCCAUCAGUAAGAACACUGGCUUUUACUUGGAGAUGAGAACCCGUUUGAAGUUUUGGAGCACUGGGUGGCAUGAUGUAACCUAAGCUGAAACCAAGAACUAGGACUGGGCUGAUUUUUAUGGGGCUAUUACCCCAUGAAAGAGGCCUCAUUACGAUUCUCUAUCAUCUGUGAAAACAUUGUCGGCAACCCCAGAGAAUUAGCCAGAAGAACUUCUCAUAUUAAAGGAAUUGACGGUGAUUAAAACUCAAUCUGCCUAUGUGGGUCCAGCAAUGUGAAAUAUAAGAACAAAGAGGAAAUGGUGGGAUCCAGGAUUAUGCAAGAGACCAAGAAUUCAUGAGUCAAGAGCAUGUUGGAAGAUCAUUACAGGGACACAGAGAAGCAUUUAGAAUGAGCAAUACUUUUAUGAAGAAAAAGAAAAUGUAGUCAUAGUACCUUAACAGACCUUGGUCAAUUUGCGGGCAAGGUAGGGAAAACGAAACUGAAGAAACGCUACGUUCAAGGUAGAGAAGGAAAAGGACCACCUCGGAGGGGACAAACUUCUGUCAUCUCUGCUGUCCUCCGCCUGGAAGAGAGGAAUUUCAGAAUCCCUUCUGGCAAAUAGUGACUUCUCAUGGCACCCGUCAACCAAGCCCCACGGCUUGGAGGCCCAGUGUAAGAUCAAAAGGAGUGUAUGUGACAGACACCAUCAUGACUCCAGUCAGGCUGCAGUGGGUUGUAGAGGCCAAAAGACCCUCUCUGAAGACAGACAGGACCAGGUACUGCAAGUCUCUUGAGCACUCUGGGCUCAUCUACUGUGGAGGGAACUGAGGUGCCAGGCCUCCCACUGUAUCCUCUGCCAUUCUGGGCAGUCUGGGCUUCCCAUCAUCCCCUGAGCCUGCAUGCCACCUGUUGCCUCUGCCUGGGAUUUGCUUUGUUUAAAGCACACACACCAGGUCUCAGUUUAUUCAUCACUUCUGGUGCUUUUCCUAUUUUCACCUAAACUCACUCUCGGAUUUUGGGUGCUCCCGCCACCACGUUCAGUUAGAGCAGCACUUGUGUUUGUUCACCUUUAAAUUUCCACAGGCUUACCCACUGCUUGUAUAAAGGUACAAUAAUCACUGAGUGACUUUAGGGAAUUCUCCAUUUUUAAAAUUAUUUAUAUCACUUUUCCUAAACAACUUUUAGUUCCUAGGUGUGAAUCAAAUCCACAACAUAUUUUGUUAGUUAUAUAGAAUUUUAUUCUGUAACUGAGCAAGAAACCAAGAAGGAGAUAAGGUUUUGGAGUACAAUGGCUUUGUAGAGCCCCAGAAAGUCAGCCUUGGGAGGGCCCAUCCAGUUCCUUUACUGUCUAAUCAGAAAAGGAACUGAUUAGACAGAGGUCACACAGCUGAGUGUCGCAGAGGUAGGAUUAAAACCUUGCUUUUGUUUAUAUUGUGAUUUAGUAGGAAACCCUCCCAAUAGCCUCCUUCAGCUACACUGCUCUUUGUUUUCUUUUUAAGCAAUAAUUUCAACUGUCUCUUUCUCUGAUCUUCCAGUUUCGUUUUUUAGACCCCAGGGUUUUCUAGGGCUUGGCUAACAAGACACCAGCUGUAGAAAUAGCAGCAGGGCCUUCUCAGCAGCUUCCCAGAAGCCAGAGAGCCCACUCUGAAAAGCAUACAAUCUCCCCUUUGAAUUAAGUUCCCCCCCAACCCCCGCCUCUGUGAGAGGGAAACCCCAGCUCCCAAUGCACCCAACUCAGUAACACAGUGAAAAACAGCACAGCACACACAACUUUUGCCACUUUUGUAUUUUUAUUGUGGAACUGAGGUUUUUUUUUUUUUCUUUUACAUCAAAUAUCCUCAAUGGAAGAGGGGAUAUUGCACACAAAUAUCAUAAAAGCACUACAUAUUACUUUCACUGGAAACUAAUUUUCUACAUUAGAUAUGACUGGAUAGAAGUGAUGCAGGAUUAUAAGACAUAAUACCAUACACAGCUGCAGACUGACACAAACACCAUUCAGAACAAGAGAGAGGAGUGGGAGGUGCUUCUCAGGGAGGCUCAAGAGGACUUCCUUCCAGGCCGGAAGGAGAAGGGCUGCAGGCAGCGCGGUAAGCAGGACUCCAGCGCUGCAGUAUGUUCUCUGAAGGGCAGCCCAGUCUUGAUGCUCCAUCACGAUGGCUCCUUUUUGGGGAGCUCCAAAUGAGUGCAGAGAAGCUAUUUUUUUUCCCUUCCGUUUCAGUUUUUGAUGCUGUCUUUUAAAUCAAUAAAGUCACAGAUUUUUUUUUUUCAUAGUAAAUAGGUUUUUUUUUUUUUAUACCAGGUGAAUAACCUAAUUGCUCUCAAGGAAAUGCUCAUCCCUAGGCUGCUUUUGGUGUGUUGUUCAGUUGGUUAAAAGAUAAAAGCUUACAUACAGUUCCUUUCAAAUGGAAACAGGAUCUUUUUUUCUAAAUCCGAAGUGCAAAAAAAGUUAUUAAUCUAACUCACAAUAUCAUUACUGAGCAGGAACCUCCUGUGACAAGUGACUAAAGAGAGGCAAGAAAAGCAAUUUCAGAAUUGUAGAGCAGCUCCUAAGAGCUGAAAUUUGGUGACAGAGGGAAAAAUGGAAAGUGGUAAAAUUUCCAUUAGCAAAUGAUUAAAUCUUAUUAAAUGGGUAUCGGAAAGCCCCUAAACUGUAUAAGCUAUUGGAGACACUUAAAACAUUCAUAUACACUGGGGAAACCAUUCACUAUGAUAUGUAAGGUAAAGGAAAAAAAAAAUUUUUUUUUUGAACUCCAUGGAAAAUGGCAUUUAAGGGUGGGGGCAGGGGGCAAGAGUGGGGGAGGGUCAGUCAUUGUAUCCAGUCCCACCACAAGACUGAGAAAGCAUGCACAGGGGUUGGGUUUUAAGAAAGGGCAUAGAAUUAGUUAAAAUUGAAAAUGCAGGAUCAUCUCUAACAUUUAGUCUGUAGAAUUUUGUUUAAGAACACUACCAAAAAGGUCAUGAUCAUGAGUGCUAUCUUGAUGGAAUCCCAUCACUUAAACAGAGUGUAAAUUCCUUCCACUCAAUAUUCAAAUAUUCAAUCUAUACAAUUGGAUUAAGUAAUCAGCAUGAAUAAAGCUCCUAGAAGUCUGUGUCCAUCUUUAGCUCUCACCAUGAACUGUACAUGGUACACUGCGAUGGCUUGUUUACUAAACUAAUUGUGUAUUUAUGGAACUAGCAAAAUUAGGUUAGUCACACAGGUAGGAAAGGUGUGUGGAAGGACAGGAGCAACCCGUUAUGUAAAUGUUGGUUUUCCUGUUAUAUUCAGGCUCCGUGGUCAUCGCUGAGAACAAUGGAUGGAGAAAGGUACUGAUGUAUUUCAUAGGAAAAAGAGCCAGCUGACCAGUGACAGCUUUUGUAUAUCUUUUUUUUCCAUUAAAUUCCAGAGCAAAAGACAAGAGAAAAAAUUAAAAAAGGAGUGGGAAUAGAAUGGUUAUAAUUGAAUUCUGGCUAUAAUUCUCCUCAAAUGUUUGGUUUUUUCUUAAAAUAAUGUACAUGCUAAAUAAAUUUAAUUUGGGAAAUUAGAAAAUAAUUCCAUCUUCUAUCAAAGAAAAAUCAACCAGAGGUCUGGAUUUGGCAAGAAGGCUGGAAAUCUGUUUCUCUUCCAAUGAAUGCAUUAUGUGAACCAACUUAACAACUAAUCAUUCAAUAAUUAUCUGGAGUAUCUUAGGUUGUCUCAUAAGAUAUGUUUGAAGUAGAUGACUUUAUACUCACUGAAAUCCAUUUUUGUCACAAUGAGUUUUCCAUCAUGUGCUCCUUUUUUUGUACCCUUAAUCAUUGUGGUGGUCUUAAGGAUUUCAAAGAAACAGGGCAAUAAAUAAAGCUGCAUUUCUAGAGAAGCCUAAAAAAAAAUAGAAUAUUAACUUUUUUAAAAAAUUAAACAUUUGAAAAAUGUAAUUCACAGCAUUAAGUAGACUGCAUUAGAUCCUCAGUGAAGGGACCUGGAAGAAGCAUUGUUUAAACCCUCAUAGUAGUUAGCAGUGCAAAACACACACUUAUCAGACAAAAAUAAACGAAAAUGUUAAUUCUGAAAUAAAUAACUAACAUAGGAAAUAAAACGAGGUGAUUGUUGACUACUCCGUAGAUCUUAGAGUCUGCAGGAGACGCAACGCGACAGAGCCCAGCACAGCUGUCACUGAGAAGUUUGCCACAUCUGAACACUGGGUGCGUGGAUCUGCAACUCGAAUCUUGGUGUCGGUUUUAAUCAUGAUCUGGCUUCCCAGGUUCAUAGUUGGAUGACGAAAAUGAUGGAAAUGAUCUUUGAACUCUACGUGAUGAAUCGUACGAGUUGGGAAUUCACUUGCUUUCAGUGUAUUUUUCCUUUAUUAUUAUUUUUUUUUUCCAGAAAAGAAAAUCCCAAAGCAAAUUUUUGCUAAGGUUCUUUGAACUUGUCUUGGCUCUUUUACCUCAUGGUUGAAGAUCCUGAAAGAAGUAUGUAGGAAACCAGUGGGUGCUAUGCUUGUAAAAGCCUGGAAAAGUAGCCAUUCUCCCCCCAACUCUCAAAUAGCACAUGCUCAGAUUUCUGUUAUGGAAAUUAAGGGGUGGGAGGUAUCACUAUUCCUGGUAGUGAUGGGCUUUUUAUAAAUAUUAUUACUGCAAUAUCAGACUUCACUCUCACUAGAACUUCAAAAAACAUUAUUCAUUUUUUUGUCUUAUGAAACACUUAAAAAAAAAAGAAGGCGGUCACUUGAAAAUUUUCUUUGCAUUUUCCUGUAAAUGAAAACAUUUGUUAAAAAGUUCAUCUAUGAAAAGUUCUCACAUAUCUAAAAAAAAAAAAAAAUUCUUCUGUACACUUGUUCCCAUAAUUAUGCUGAAAUUAAUGGAAAAUUAAAAAAAAAAGCGCCAAUGUAAGACAAAGGAAGGUAAAUACUGUACACUUGCUGAGAAGCUCUUCCACCGUUAAGAUUUACUGUUUUCCCAGUUCUGAU